GGAGAGGUGGCUGAGUGGUCGAAAGCACCGGUUUCGAAAACCGGCAUACCGCAAGGUAUCGGGAGUUCGAAUCUCCCCCUCUCCGCCA
RNAcentral lists this transfer RNA (88 nucleotides) under Candidatus Kaiserbacteria bacterium RIFCSPHIGHO2_01_FULL_54_36b. RNAcentral describes it as "tRNA-Ser". It matches the Rfam family "tRNA". Rfam says of the family: Transfer RNA (tRNA) molecules are approximately 80 nucleotides in length. Their secondary structure includes four short double-helical elements and three loops (D, anti-codon, and T loops). Lineage: Bacteria; Candidatus Kaiseribacteriota. RNAcentral also lists the same sequence under 1 other name. The record is from RNAcentral.